GAUGAACGCUGGCGGCGUGCUUAACACAUGCAAGUCGAACGAAGCAUUUAGGACAGAUUACUUCGGUUUGAAGUUCUUUAUGACUGAGUGGCGGACGGGUGAGUAACGCGUGGGUAGCCUGCCUUGUACUGGGGGAUAGCAGCUGGAAACGGCUGGUAAUACCGCAUAAGCGCACAAUGUUGCAUGACAUGGUGUGAAAAACUCCGGUGGUAUAAGAUGGACCCGCGUCUGAUUAGCUAGUUGGUGAGAUAACAGCCCACCAAGGCGACGAUCAGUAGCCGACCUGAGAGGGUGACCGGCCACAUUGGGACUGAGACACGGCCCAGACUCCUACGGGAGGCAGCAGUGGGGAAUAUUGCACAAUGGAGGAAACUCUGAUGCAGCGACGCCGCGUGAGUGAAGAAGUAAUUCGUUAUGUAAAGCUCUAUCAGCAGGGAAGAUAGUGACGGUACCUGACUAAGAAGCUCCGGCUAAAUACGUG
RNAcentral lists this ribosomal RNA (481 nucleotides) under uncultured bacterium. RNAcentral's name for it is "partial 16S ribosomal RNA". It matches the Rfam family "Bacterial small subunit ribosomal RNA", at positions 28 to 507 of the family's 1533-position model. The record is from RNAcentral.